UGCCUCCUAGUGGGAGAGGAGGAAGAGAGUGAGGAGUCCUUCCCUUGAGGAGGUAGGAGGAAGAAAUAUGUGCAAUGAAUUGACCACAGCCCCCAUUCCCACACCCCUGCAUCACUCAGGGAGAAGAUAGAGGAGUCAGGAGUAAAAUUGAGGCCAGGAGGAAGGGAGGAGUGGGGGGAAGGCGUUUUAAGAUUCAGUUUUAUUUCCCAUUACAGUACUCUGUUUUG
Molecule: long non-coding RNA, 227 nt
Organism: Athene cunicularia (burrowing owl)
Lineage: Eukaryota; Metazoa; Chordata; Aves; Strigiformes; Strigidae
Exons: 3
Source: RefSeq, a predicted model, not a curated record